Molecule: long non-coding RNA, 451 nt
Filed under: Zea mays
Lineage: Eukaryota; Viridiplantae; Streptophyta; Magnoliopsida; Poales; Poaceae
Description: long non-coding RNA (ZMAY_LNC002010)
Source: RNAcentral
CUCCAGGCGUCGACGGAGAGGUGCCACUGGACGGCGGAGGGGUUGCGCUACACCCUCCAUCACUACCUCCAGGUGUCGAUGGAGAGGUGUCACUGGACGGCGAAGGGGGAGCACUAUACCCUCCACCAUCACCGCCAGGCGGCGACGUCGGGGAGGUGUCAGAGGACGGCGAGGGAGGUCCGUAGUACCCACCACCACCUCCGGGCGUUGAUGGAGAGCUGCCACUAGACGGCGAAGGGGGAGCACUACACCCUCCAGUACCACCACCGCCGGGCGUGGUCGGGGAGGUGUCAGAGGACGGCGAGGGAGGCCCAUAGUACCCACCACCACCUCCAGGUGUCGGUGGAGAAGUAUCACUGGACGGCGAAGGGGGGACACUACAGCCACCACCACCUCCGGGCGUCGAUGGGGAGGUAUCACUGGACGGCGAAGGAGGAGCACUGUAUCCGCC